Molecule: unclassified non-coding RNA, 462 nt
Filed under: Hevea brasiliensis (rubber tree)
Lineage: Eukaryota; Viridiplantae; Streptophyta; Magnoliopsida; Malpighiales; Euphorbiaceae
Source: RNAcentral
GAGGAGCUCCUGAAAGAAACUGCAAACAUUCCAAAGCCUAUUCUGAUGUGUAUUCUGAACAUUAUAAGGGUCAUCGAUGUUGUUUACAAGGAUGAAGAUAGUUACACUAACUCCAAAACCUCACUCAAGGAUAUCCUGGUUGCUUUCCUUGUCAAUCCUACAGUUGUUUAAGCUUGAAGUUUCUACAUAUUUAUGAAACAAAUCAAUUGGCGUGAAUUUUAGUUCAAGCUCUAGGAAUUAAGAUUUGGAUAUGGAGUAGAACUAGUUUGCUGCCUUGUUAGUGAUGCUCAAGAUCCUCUCAUAGUUAUGUAGGUAUUCUGCUUCUAUUUGUUAUUGUGUGAUGCAAUGUCUUAAAAUAUCAAAUAAUUGGCUUGGAGAUCAUUUUCUAUGGAGCAUGUUGUCUCAAAAAGUAUGUCCAAGAGGGAGAUGAGCUGGACAAUUAUAAUUUUUUCUGCUCUUGCU